RNAcentral lists this transfer RNA (68 nucleotides) under Comatella nigra. Its description in RNAcentral is "tRNA-Glu". The record is from RNAcentral. Lineage: Eukaryota; Metazoa; Echinodermata; Crinoidea; Comatulida; Comatulidae.
GUUCUUAUAGUUGAAAACAACAGUAACCCUUCACGUUUCAGGUUUGAGAUAAAAACUCAAUAAGAAUU